This 497-nucleotide ribosomal RNA is filed under the name uncultured bacterium. Its description in RNAcentral is "partial 16S ribosomal RNA". It matches the Rfam family "Bacterial small subunit ribosomal RNA", at positions 28 to 507 of the family's 1533-position model. The record is from RNAcentral.
GAUGAACGCUGGCGGCGUGCCUAAUACAUGCAAGUCGAGCGAACAGAUAAGGAGCUUGCUCCUUUGACGUUAGCGGCGGACGGGUGAGUAACACGUGGGUAACCUACCUAUAAGACUGGAAUAACUCCGGGAAACCGGGGCUAAUGCCGGAUAACAUUUAGAACCGCAUGGUUCUAAAGUGAAAGAUGGUUUUGCUAUCACUUAUAGAUGGACCCGCGCCGUAUUAGCUAGUUGGUAAGGUAACGGCUUACCAAGGCAACGACACGUAGCCGACCUGAGAGGGUGAUCGGCCACACUGGAACUGAGACACGGUCCAGACUCCUACGGGAGGCAGCAGUAGGGAAUCUUCCGCAAAGGGCGAAAGCCUGACGGAGCAACGCCGCGUGAGUGAUGAAGGUCUUCGGAUCGUAAAACUCUGUUAUUAGGGAAGAACAAAUGUGUAAGUAACUGUGCACGUCUUGACGGUACCUAAUCAGAAAGCCACGGCUAACUACGUG